RNAcentral lists this ribosomal RNA (870 nucleotides) under Triticum aestivum (bread wheat). RNAcentral's name for it is "partial small subunit ribosomal RNA". Lineage: Eukaryota; Viridiplantae; Streptophyta; Magnoliopsida; Poales; Poaceae. The record is from RNAcentral.
AUGGAAAAUGACCUAGGAUUUUUCUUUAAAUGCAAGACAGAUGCGGAAGGCAGGACAGAAAACUUGUUUUGGGUGGAUGGUGCGGCACGAAAAGCAUACGCGGAGGCUUAUCAUGAUUGCAUGUCAUUUGAUGCAACUUACCUCACGAACAUGUACAAUAUGCCGUUUGCCCCCUUCAUUGGAAUCAACAGACAUGGGCAGUCAAUAAUGCUCGGGUGUGGAUUUGUCCGGCAGGAACUAGCGUCAAGUUAUGACUGGUUAUUUGAUGCUUUCCUAGAAGCAAUGGAUGGUUUGGCUCCGGACAACAUCAUCACGGACCAAGAUGUUGCUAUGGCACAAUCUAUCAAGAGGAAGUUCCUGGCAACGAUUCACCAUUUCUGCCGUUGGCAUAUAAUGAAGAAAGCACAAGAGAAGCUUGGCCCCGUGUUGGCUAGGAACCCGGAUUUGGUAAAAGACUUCAAUGAAUGCAUUGACUUCAGUUUCACCCCGGCUGAGUUUGAAAGGAAAUGGGCUGCACUUCAAUUGAAAUAUGAAGGUCUUAUGCAUGGUCACUUUGAGAAAUUGUAUGAGGAUCGGGCUACAUGGGUGCCGUGUUACUUCAAAUUCAGGUUCUUCCCUUUCCUUCAGUCAACGCAACGUAGCGAAGGGUUCAAUGCUGUGUUGAAGCGCUAUGUGAACCCACACAAAUCAAUUCUCAACUUCGUCAAGCAAUAUGAGAAAAUUCAGGUACACAUACUCGUGAGGGAGGGCGGGAACGACUACCGGACAGAACAUCUAGAGGCACAAAGAUGGUCGUGUUUCCCCAUUGAGAGGCAUGCCUACAAAGCAUACACUAGGGACAUCUAUGUGAAGUUUAGAACUGAGUUUUAG